RNAcentral lists this ribosomal RNA (497 nucleotides) under uncultured bacterium. RNAcentral describes it as "partial 16S ribosomal RNA". It matches the Rfam family "Bacterial small subunit ribosomal RNA", at positions 28 to 507 of the family's 1533-position model. The record is from RNAcentral.
GAUGAACGCUGGCGGCGUGCCUAAUACAUGCAAGUCGAGCGAACAGAUGAGGAGCUUGCUCCUCUGACGUUAGCGGCGGACGGGUGAGUAACACGUGGAUAACCUACCUAUAAGACUGGGAUAACUUCGGGAAACCGGAGCUAAUACCGGAUAAUAUAUUGAACCGCAUGGUUCAAUAGUGAAAGACGGUUUUGCUGUCACUUAUAGAUGGAUCCGCGCCGCAUUAGCUAGUUGGUAAGGUAACGGCUUACCAAGGCAACGAUGCGUAGCCGACCUGAGAGGGUGAUCGGCCACACUGGAACUGAGACACGGUCCAGACUCCUACGGGAGGCAGCAGUAGGGAAUCUUCCGUAAUGGGCGAAAGCCUGACGGAGCAACGCCGCGUGAGUGAUGAAGGUCUUCGGAUCGUAAAACUCUGUUAUUAGGGAAGAACAAAUGUGUAAGUAACUAUGCACGUCUUGACGGUACCUAAUCAGAAAGCCACGGCUGACUACGUG